AUUUAAUCGGAACAUGGAGAACCACCCGGGAAAACAGUACAACCACAAGAACUAUCAUGGCUCUGGUCUUGGCUAAUUAAUUAGAAACCUUAGUCUGGGGUAAUCUUACCGAAAGGGCAAGAGGGGUGGCGGCAGAUGGGGUAUAACCAGCCCUCACACUAAUUUGCUCUAUGGUAGCUUCGCGGUCUUGAGAGAGAUUUAUGCACACUACCGAUCCAGAAACCUUAGCAGGUUACCACUUACUAGGGAAUCUUUGUAAAGAUCUCGUAGCGUCCCUAUGCAAUUACACCUCGAAAG
Molecule: long non-coding RNA, 297 nt
Filed under: Setaria viridis
Lineage: Eukaryota; Viridiplantae; Streptophyta; Magnoliopsida; Poales; Poaceae
Description: long non-coding RNA (SVIR_LNC003615)
Source: RNAcentral